UUUGGAGCAGGGAUGGAAACCUACUCCUCCUUCUCUCCUACCCCCAGUGUCUGACUGCCCAGUGUUGGUGCUCCAAGGGCACCAUGGGGGACAAGGGGCAGGCUCCAGGGUUAGAGAGAAUUGAAAGGUUAUGCAGACAUGCUGCCCUCCUCUUCCCUAACAGGAACAAGGAUGGAUUUUCAGCUCCUGAGAUCAUCAAAGGAAAAGAGAGAGAGGCUGGAGCUACAAGAAACUUACAUCCUCCUUAUGUUAGCCCGUAAGACUCCAUCAGUUCUUUCUCUGGAAGCAUAUGAUAUUUUUAUCAUGAAUCUUUGGAAUUGUCUCAGAUCACUGACUUGCUAAGAACUGCAAGGUUAUUUCAUAGUCGAGCAUCAUAAGAUAGUGCUGUUGCUGUGUACUACAUUCUUCUGGUUCGGCUCACUUCAUUUUUCAUCAGUUCAUAUCAUGUAUUUCUAGAGGGAGACAAAAGGGCAUAUGAGGAUACUGGACAUUUUUUUAAAAGAAGAAGAAAAUUAAGUGUAGAAAACAUUCUUGGGCACACUCCUUGAUCAGAAGGUCAUAAAUCUAGAGUGAGCAACAAUCCUUCAAAACCAUCUAGUCCAAAUUCAUUAUUUUAUAGUUGAGGAAAUAGUGACACAGAGAAUGGAAAUAACUUGCCCAAAGUCAUAGAAACAUAGACUCUCAGUCAGAACUGUCAGGGAUCUUGGAGGUUACCUCAUCCAAUCUCUAUCUGAACAGGAAUCCCUUUGUAAUAUCCCCCACAAGGAGUCAUUGCACCUCUCCUUGAAGGUUUCCCCCUUAGGUUAACGGCAGAACUGGGAUUUGUACCCAGUUUCUCAGACAGCAAUAGUCUUUCCAAUAAAUCACAAUGCCUUUCCAAAAGGUCACAACACCUUAAAAAGGAAGAGGAAUUGGUUCAGCCUGGAAAGCAAACUUUGUCAGUUUCCCUAAUUUUUCCUAGAGCUAGCUCAAUCUGUCCUCGGGGGGAAGAUGCUACUCAAUAAAGACUAGGAAGGUAAGAAAGAUGGGGCCAGGAUGAUACUUGCCAUAAAUUGGCAGCAAAGGAAUUGUCGGCCUUAUCAUUAUUAUCAUCCAUUUUUUAUUUAUAUGAGACAAGGUUCUCAAAUGAAAAGGCAGGAAGGAAAGCCAUGGAAGAUCUCAGAAGGGAUACAAAGGUUUGGAAGAGCUUCUGUGGAGAGUAGAGAGUAAGUUGAUAAAAAAAUAUAUAGUGGGAUUGCCUAGCAGCAGUAAGGGCUUACUUGAGGUUGUAUAGCCUAAAUUUGUAGUGGAUCCAGUCUGAAUGAUUGUGUGAUUUUCUCCACGUCUGUUUGGCAGCAUGUGGGUAGGAGCAAAGGUGACAGUUGGUGGGAGUGAUACAAGGCUAAAGCUUGACUGAGUGUAAUCAGUGAUACCCAUAAGAGAGUUAGAUAUUCAAGACAGGAAGACAGUGUAAAGUUGAAUGGGUUUACCAACGAAUCAAUAUGGAAAGAAGAGGGAAAAGUGUCUAGUGCAGGGGAUAUGACCUGGGAGAAAAUUGAGAAGUCAAGGAAUUGAAGAUCACGAUGCUAAUGAAGAAUAAUGCUAUGUAAGGGAAGGCAGAGGGAGAGAUGAAAAACCAAUAGAUUAUGGUCAGCUAGAGGUAUUUUGGAAUUCUCCAACAUGGAAGUGGUACAUGUGUGGGUGAUGACAAGAUCAAUGUGUGUGUGACUGAGGUGGGGUUGAGGAGUCCUCAUGGGAACUGAGUGGUUAGUGUUUGAGGAAGAAUCAGUAUGGAUGUUGAAGUCCCCUGGUACAAGGGCAGUUGUUGGGAAGGAGAGAGAAAUGGAAAGUUGAGUAUCAAACUCACCGAGGAAGGAAGGGGAGUGACCUGUGUGUCUAAAGACAACAGCUGCUAGGAUUUGGACUGGGUGGUAGAUAUAAAGAUCAUGAACCUUAGAGAAAGAGAAGGUAAUGAGUGAGGAAGGAAAGAGGAGAAUCUGGAAGUGGCCAUGGAGAACAAGAAAGAUUCUAACACCCCAACCUCAGCCAGGAAGCUGAAGAGAAUGAGCAAAGGUGCAACCAAUACUAGAAAUGGGAGGUCAGAGAGUCUGUGUUAUCAAGGAAUGGACAGGUUUCAAUAAGAGCUAGUAGAUGAAAAAUGAAAGAAGUGGGGGAGGAAUAGAUUUAAGAUAAAGGAAAAGAACAGCUAGGUAUCUCAGAGGAUAGAGAGCCAUGCCUGGAGAUGGGAGAUCCUGGGUUCAUCCUCAGAUAUUUCCUAGCUGUGUCAUCCUAGGUACAUCACUUAAGCCCAGCUGCCUACCUUUACCACUCUUCUCCCUUGGAAUCAACAUUUCAUAUCAAUUCUAAGACAGAAAGUAAGGAUUUAAAAAGAAAAAAGAUAAAGAGAAGUUUGUUGCCUAUGGAACAGGUAUUAUAGAGGGCACAAUGGAAGGUCUGAGCAAUUAAGAUGAAACUUUGGGGUGGGAAGGUUGAAAUGGAUGGGAGUAAGGAACCAGGUGGUAGGGGUAUGGAAUGGGGUUUGGAUGAUAACCUACAGGAGUUCAGAGUCAUUGCAAUAUAAAGGGUAUGACCAGGCAUGAGAAUGUUCAUUACUGAGUGAAGGGUGCCAUUCCUCUUCCCUCAAAGGACAAGCACAACAGGAGAUGAGAGGCCUAAAGCCAAAGGAAGGAUUCUUCUCGCCAAUGACUGUUCUCCACAUCCUGUUUGGGACAUUAGUCUGGCAGAAGGAGGUUGAUGGUGCUUUAUCCUGGGACAAAUGGAAGUGGUAACAUUAAAGCAGAUGGAAAAUGUC
Long non-coding RNA from Monodelphis domestica (gray short-tailed opossum), 2791 nucleotides. RefSeq lists it as uncharacterized. The record is from RefSeq and is a predicted model, not a curated record. NCBI's taxonomy places the organism in Eukaryota, Metazoa, Chordata, Mammalia, Didelphimorphia, Didelphidae.